RNAcentral lists this ribosomal RNA (1459 nucleotides) under uncultured prokaryote. Its description in RNAcentral is "partial 16S ribosomal RNA". It matches the Rfam family "Bacterial small subunit ribosomal RNA". The record is from RNAcentral.
UCAGAGUGAACGCUGGCGGCACGGCUCAGACAUGCAAGUUGAGCGAUGAAACUCCUUCGGGAGUGGAUUAGCGGCAAACGGGUGCGUAACACGUGAGCAACUUGCCCUUAAGUCGGGGAUAGCCCAUAGAAAUGUGGAUUAAUACCGGAUGUGGUCCUCCUUCGCAUGAAGGAGGCACUAAACCUUGUAACGGGGCUUAAGGAGGGGCUUGCGGCCUAUCAGCUUGUUGGUGAGGUAACGGCUCACCAAGGCUAAGACGGGAAGCGGAAUUGAGAGAUUGAUCCGCCGGACUGGGACUGAGACACGGCCCAGACACCUACGGGUGGCAGCAGUCUCGAAUCAUCCACAAUGGGCGAAAAGCCUGAUGGUGCAAUGCCGCGUGGGGGAUGAAGGCCUUCGGGUCGUAAACCCCUGUCACCAAGGAACAAAAAGCUGUGAUGAGCAGCCUUGAGCUAACUUGGAGAGGAAGAGGUGGCUAACUCCGUGCCAGCAGCCGCGGUAAUACGGAGACCUCGAGCGUUACUCGGAUUCACUGGGCGUAAAGGGUGCGAAGGCGGACAGGUAUGUCAGGUGUGAAAUCUCGGGGCUUAACUCCGAAACUGCGCCUGAAACUACUUGUCUAGAGACUCGGAGGGGUAAGCGGAAUUCCAGGUGUAGCGGUGAAAUGCGUAGAUAUCUGGAGGAACACCAAAGGCGAAGGCAGCUUACUGGACGAGAUCUGACGCUAAAGUACGAAAGCGUGGGUAGCGAAAGGGAUUAGAUACCCCUGUAGUCCACGCCGUAAACGUUGUACACUAGGUUUUGGAGGAUUCGACCCCUUCAGAGCUCAAGCUAACGUAAUAAGUGUACCGCCUGAGGACUACGGCCGCAAGGCUAAAACUCAAAGGAAUUGACGGGGGCCCGCACAAGCGGUGGAGCAUGUGGCUUAAUUCGAUGCAACGCGAAGAACCUUACCUGGGCUUGACAUGUAGAGGACCGGCAGUGAAAGCUGCCUUCUCUUCGGAGCUUCUACACAGGUGCUGCAUGGCUGUCGUCAGCUCGUGUCGUGAGAUGUUCGGUUAAGUCCGGCAACGAGCGCAACCCUCGUUCUUAUUUGCCAGCGGGCAGUUGGGGACUCUAAGGAGACAAACGGCAACCGCCGUGGGAAGGUGGGGAUGACGUCAAGUCAGUAUGGCCCUUACGCCUUGGGCUGCACACGUGCUACAAUGCCCGGUACAAUGAGAUGCAAUACAGCGAUGUGGAGCUAAUCUAUAAAACCGGGCCCAGUUCGGAUUGGAGUCUGCAACUCGACUCCAUGAAGCCGGAAUCGCUAGUAAAGGCGUAUCAGCAAUGACGCCUUGAAUACGUUCCCGAGCCUUGUACACACCGCCCGUCAAGUCAUGAAAGCCGGUUCUGCCCGAAGUGCGUGAGCUAACUUCGGAGGCAGCGCCCUAAGGCAGGGCUGGUGAUUGGGACUAAG